UUUGUUUUUUAAUUAAAAACUAGAAUGAAAGGUUAUACAUUCAAAUUUCUUUAUUAAUUUUUUAUAAAAUAAUUUAUAUUAAAUAUAAAAAUAUAUUUUUAAAUAAAAAAGACGACAAGACCCUAUUAAAUUUAACUUAUAGUUUAGCUGGGGAAGCUUUUUAAAUAAAAUUUUAUUAAAAUAUUUUAAAAUAAUUUUUUAAUUAAAAUUAAAACAAAUUACUAUAGGGAUAACAGCGUUAUAUUUUUUAAAAGUUCCUAUUUAAAAAAAUGAUUGCGACCUCGAUGUUGAAUUAUAUUUUCUAUAUUAAUGCAAUAAUUAUAAAAGUAGAUCUGUUCGAUCUUUAAAAUAUUACAUGAUUUGAGUUCAAACCGGUGUAAACCAGGUUGGUUUCUAUCUUUUUAUAUCUAUAUAUUUUUCAAGUACGAAAGGAAAAAAAAAUUUUUAUUUUAAUUAUUUAGCAAAUUAAAAUGCAUUAGAUUUAGAAUCUAAAUAAACUAAU
RNAcentral lists this ribosomal RNA (502 nucleotides) under Anelosimus dubiosus. Its description in RNAcentral is "partial 16S ribosomal RNA". The stretch from base 106 to 402 matches the Rfam family "Bacterial large subunit ribosomal RNA", at positions 2074 to 2646 of the family's 2925-position model. The record is from RNAcentral. Lineage: Eukaryota; Metazoa; Arthropoda; Arachnida; Araneae; Theridiidae.